RNAcentral lists this non-coding RNA (25 nucleotides) under Xenopus tropicalis (tropical clawed frog). The record is from RNAcentral. RNAcentral also lists the same sequence under 2 other names. Lineage: Eukaryota; Metazoa; Chordata; Amphibia; Anura; Pipidae.
CUUUUGGCUAAGAUCAAGUGUAGUA